AUGGUCCUUCGAGCCGGAAGUACUUCUGUAGAGAUGGAUUCUGAUGCUGUCAGCACAGCAGACCCUGCGGUCCGACCCCGCACACAAAGAGAGCGACAUCUCCCAGCUCAUCUAGAGGAUUAUGAAGUCCAGCUCCCUGCACACCUGCAUUCAGCACCACCUCCAGCUGACACCUCUUCACAGAGACAUUCUAGACAUUCUUCUCAGUGUAUCUCAUCUGGUACAGCCUCCAAAGCUACCUCCAGAUCACGACACAGUGCUCCAAGUCGAUCUCCAAGACACGCUCUGUCUGAGGUCCAAGCUGCAGUGCUGGAGGAAAAACUAAAGGCUCUUGAACUAGAGGAACUACAACGCCAGAUUGAAGAGGAUGCUACAGCAGACAAGGAAUGUCAGAGACUUGAUGACCAAGCCAGAGAGGCACUCAAAGCCAGAGAAGCCUUGGCUAAACAGAUUGAUAUACGACGUCGCCUCAAGAAAGCACAAAAUGAGCUUGAAGUUGCCAAGCUAGUCACCUCGUUCCUUAAACAGGACAGCAACAGUAGAUCUGGAUCACAGUCUAGCAUCCCCAGUAAUUUAUCUGAAGCACAACCUGGAGUAAACCAACCUCCACAGAGAGCUGUUACUAGUGAUAUUUUUACAUCGUAUGCCCAGGAAAUGCACAGAUCUUCCUUGCCACAACCUGCGUUUCUUACCUCGGAGGCAUCAGUAUUGCUUCCUCCAGCCACACAGGUGGUGCAGUUUACAUCCAGUGCCCAGGACUUUACUACCGAGGUGCGCCAUCCUAACGCAGUGACAUGGUCAUCGCCUCCACGUGCAACAGCUCAGUCGACUUCAGACUCUAGAACAGUUUUCACUGGUCCAUCACCUAUUUACCCAGCUACCGUCACAGUACAGCCAACUUCUCCUGUCACUACGGUAACCUACCAUCAGACACCCGCUGUCAGUGUGCCUCCCUCAGUAGCUUCACCUCUAGACCCUGCAAGCUUAGGGGCUUCUGUACUUCCUCAGCCACACCAAGUACUGUACCCUCACACUCAAGUGGCAUUCCCGGCCCCUCAUCCAGUUCCAGCUCAAGCAGGAAUCUAUGUACCUCAAGCCCAGCCUCCCGGACUAGAGAUGUUAGCUGCUUCGGCUUAUGGUAUCCCAAAACCUGUCAUACCAUCCUUUGAAAGUGGACGCGAAAGUGACUUUGCACUGCUCAAAAUGGCAUUGGACAAUCUGAUGAACAAUCAGCAGCACUUAAGUGAACAGUACAAAUAUCAAGUGCUUCUAGGGCAUUUAAAGCUUCCCAGUGCUAUCCAGCUUGCCAAGGCAUACAUGCAUGAUCCCCGGCCGUACACAGCUGCACUACAAGCACUGCAAGAUAAAUAUGGACAACCACGCCAACUAGUCCAAUGUGAGUUAGGUGCCAUAUUGAAUGCUCCAGCUGUAAAGUUUGGAGACGCUGAAGCUUUUGAUGACUUCGCCUUAUCCAUCCAUUCAUUGGUAGGGAUGCUCAGAACUCUAGAAGGCCCAAAUGGAUAUGAGUUAAGGUGUGGAUCGCAUGUUGAUCGCCUUCUGAGCAAGAUGCCACCGUCAUAUCGUGACAGCUUUGUUGAGUACUGUUUUAGCCAUGGCAUUCUCCAGACUGGUACAGACCGUACCUACACCCUGCCAGAUUUCUCUGCCUGGCUACAGCUGAAGUCUCAGGCUAAGCGUAUUUCAAACAGGGCAGCAGCACUCUACCAAAGUCCGGCAACCAGGACAACCAAGAAGGAUUCACACCCACCUUCUCGGCCUAAGGACAGAUCCACUUCAAUCCUUUACUCAACUAACAGUACCUCACCUGUUCAAGGACAAACAAGAGUUCAGACUCCCAAGUUCCAACCAUACUGUCCAUACUGCAACAAUAAGGACCAUUUUCUAAACUCUUGCUCUAAAUUCAAGCUUCUGACCACAGAGCAAAUAUUAAAGUGGAUAACCGAAGGAAAACGGUGUUGGAAAUGUGGAAGAGCACAUCCUGCAGACAACUGUACUCUGAAGCGAGCUUGCAAGACUUGCAAAGAAUUGCAUCUUACCAUCCUCCAUGAAGCAGUCCAGCAGACACAAAAGAGUGUUCUUCUAGUCAAUGUUCCCCUUACCAAGGUCUACUUAGAUCGUCCCAACCGAUCUCCAAAGGUGAUGCUAAAGGUAGUCAAGGUUCUUCUACACUACAGAGAUAAAUCCAUGGAGACAUAUGCAGUGUUAGAUGAUGGCUCAGAGCGCAGCAUUGUAUUACCACAGGCUGUGGAACAGUUAAACCUUACUGCAGUGCCUGAAACGCUCACCCUACGUACAAUACAUCAGGAUGUACUUCACUUAAAUGGAGCAUAUGUUUCCUUCUCGGUGUCUCCUCUAAACAGACCAACUAGGAAGUUUGAGAUUAAUCAUGCCUUCACUGCAGAGAACCUGAGAUUGUCUGAACACUCUUAUCCAAUAGCUGCUCUACAACGCAAAUAUGCCCAUAUCCGGUCCUUGCCACUUCCACAGAUUGAGCGAGCACAACCUUUGCUACUCAUUGGGUCAGACAUGCCUCAUUUACUUGUGCCAGUCCAGCCUAUACGAAUGGGAUCUCCUAAUGCACCCAUAGCUGUUCACACCAGACUCGGUUGGACUCUCCAAGGCCCUGUGGGAUACAGCUUAACUACCCCUUGUGACCAACGAUGUCUGAACAUCACUGUAGACAGUCAGAAUGCUGAGCUACUCAAAAACGUUGAGCGUCUUUGGCAGAUUGACACCCUACCCUACAUUAAUGAAACAGCAGCCACUCGUUCUAAACAGGACCAAUACGCUCUCACACUACUCCAAACUCGCACUACUAGGGUAGAGGUUGACGGCAUUGUACGAUAUGCCACGCCUUUGCUCAAACGACCAAAUGCUGUCACCCUUAAAGCCCCAAAGGAAGCAGUACUGGCAUCCCUUCGCAGCACUGAACGGAGACUUGCCAAAGACCCAAAUCUGUCUGAAGCAUACUGCACUGAGAUGGACAAACUAGAGAAGGCUGGCUACGUGGCAGAAAUCUCCCUUCAGGAAGCAGAGGAUUUAACUGAAUCCUGGUACAUUCCACACCAUAUGGUGAGACACAAUGGCAAAAACAGGAUUGUGUUUAACUGUUCUUUCCAGUAUCAAGGUCAGUCAUUAAAUGAGCACCUCAUUCCUGGUCCCAUACUUGGUCCAUCUUUGCUUGGAGUCUUGCUUCGGUUCAGGCAGCACACCGUGGCCGUGAGCGCAGAUGUAAAAGGUAUGUUUCACCAAGUUCGCCUACUGCCAGAUGAUAAGGCGAUCCUGCGCUUCCUGUGGAGAAACAUGAAUAGGACUGAGAAGCCAAAGAUCUAUGAGUGGCAGGUCCUGCCUUUUGGCACAACGUGCAGUCCUUGUUGUGCUAUAUAUGCACUGCAACAAGUAGCCCAAGACAACAGUGAAACUGACCCCACUCUAGCCAAAUCAGUCUCCGAAUCAUUCUAUGUAGACAAUUGUCUUCAAAGUACACAAUCAACAGAUAAAGCCAGAGCUCUUGUAGAUGGCCUACGGCAAUUGCUGCUUACUGGAGGGUUCAAUCUUCGCCAGUGGGCCAGUAACAAACCUGAAGCAAUUGAACACCUUCCAACAGAAGCAAGGUCACAAAGCAGUGAGCUAUGGUUAUCCCAAAAGAGCCCAGAUCUUCUGGAGGGCACACUUGGAUUGCGAUGGAACUGUCUCCGUGAUUCUUUAGGAUACAGACCUCGCCAAGUAGAAUGUUUCAAACCAACUUUGAGAAAUAUCUACAAAGUAUUAGCAUCACAGUAUGACCCUCUCGGGUACAUAAUUCCGUUUACCACCCAGGCUAAGAUACUUGUUCAAGACCUGUGGAAAAUUCAUCUGGGAUGGGAUGACCCCAUUGAGUCUGACAGCCUACAAAACAGAUGGCAAACUUGGUUACAGGAACUGCCCAAUUUGGAACAGCUAGAGAUUCCCAGAUGCUACACUCCAUUUCAAGUACAUGAGGAAACGUGCACCAGAGACCUGCACAUCUUCUGUGAUGCAUCUGAAAGAGCAUAUGGCUCAGUAUCAUAUCUACGCACAGAAGACAAGAAUGGCCAUAUACACAUUUCAUUCAUGUUGGCUCGUUCACGUGUAGCACCCAGGAAACAAAUGUCCAUGCCACGGCUUGAACUGAGUGCAGCACUUACUGGGGCGCAGAUGGCCAAAGUCCUCCAAAGGGAGCUCACAGUCACCAUCAGGCAAGUCAUCCUCUGGUCAGAUUCUACCACCGUCCUUCACUGGCUGCUGUCUGACUCGUGCAGGUAUAAGGUCUUCGUAGGAACUCGAGUUGCUGAAAUUCAGUCCCUCACAGACAUCAAUUCCUGGAAGUAUGUGGAUUCAGGAAAUAAUGCAGCAGAUGACAUAACCCGUGGAAAAUCCUUAAAAGAGUUGACACAAUCAUGUCGCUGGGCUAAUGGACCAGACUUCUUGCAUCAAUCAGAAGCCUCCUGGCCAACCAUGCCGGCUGUUGACCCAGAACCAGAUACUGAAUUAAAGAAAUCCACACUCUGCCUUCACCAAUGUACUAGUCUUGAUGUCCAACUCCCAGACGCAACUGAGUAUAACACAUGGAAGGACUUGGUAAAGGCCAAAGUGGCGUACCUACACGGGGCGGCUCAGCCUUCCACUCAGACAGAUGAAGCCGAGCAUUAUUUUGAAGCAGAGCGGCUCCUCCUUCAACAAGCCCAAAGAAAUUCAUUUCCAGAGGAGGUCAAGGCUCUCUCAUCACACCGACCCUUACCAUCCAAUAGUCGGUUAGUGUCCCUGUCUCCUGAAUAUGAUGAAGGUGCUGGGCUAAUUAGGGUCGGAGGGAGACUACGUCAUGCUGAACACAUAGACCUUAAUGCUCUACAUCCCAUAGUUCUCGACCCCCAUCAACAAAUAACCAAACUCCUUAUUAAGGAAUAUGAUGCCAAUCUCCUUCACCCUGGGCCAGAACGAGUCCUUGCAGAGCUCAGACGUCACUAUUGGAUUUUGAGAGGCAGAGCAGCUAUCAAAACGCAUCAACUUGCGUGUAUAGAAUGUCAAAAGUGGCGUGCCCAACCCAAGAUCCCUAUGAUGGCAGAUCUCCCACCAGCUCGUCUUAGGCUUUACAAGCCCCCCUUCUAUUCCACUGGAAUGGACUGUUUUGGACCAUUCAUAGUAAAAAUAGGACGACGAACGGAAAAGAGAUGGGGAAUAGUCUUCAAAUGUAUGACCACCCGAUGCCUCCAUCUGGAUCUACUUGAGAGUCUGGACACUGAUGCCUUCUUGAUGUCUCUACGGAGAUUUAUUGCUAGAAGAGGCAAGCCCUUUGAGCUCUUUUCAGAUAAUGGCACCAACUUUACUGGAGGGAACAGAGAGAUUAAAGAGGCAUAUGAAGCUAUGGUACCCCAACUUAAAGAGCAAUUAGCUGAACAGAAAAUCUCCUUCAGAUUUAUUCCUCCCAGCGCUCCACAUUUUGGUGGUAUUUGGGAGAGGGAAGUAAAAUCAGUGAAACAAGCCUUGAAAGUCAUUCUAAAGGAACAGACAGUCCCUGAAACAGUCCUCCGCACUGUUCUUACUGAAGUUGAGGGCAUAAUGAAUGCCAAGCCUUUAGGCUAUGUAUCAUCCGAUAUCGCAGAUUCGGACCCAAUCACACCUAGCAUCCUGCUCAUGGGACGCCACGAUUCCUCCCUCCCACAAGUGAUGUAUGACUCCAGCAAUCUUCUAGGAACCAGGAGAUGGAGACAUAGUCAGGUACUUGCGGACCAAUUCUGGGCCAGAUUUAUUCAUUUCUACCUGCCAACUCUCCAGGAAAGACAAAAGUGGCAAAAGGACAACGACCAGCUCAGGGUAGACCAGGUAGUGCUCAUCAUGGACCCUCAACUUCCACGAGCCCUCUGGCUAAUGGGCAAGGUGACCCGCACCUUCCCUGGACCUGACGGACGGAUAAGGACAGUUGCAGUUCAGGUUCAGGACCGAACUUAUGUCAGACCAGUGGCUCGCCUAAUCCCACUUCCCAAACUUGAGGAUGAUGACAGGUCCAGUCCCACCACUUAA
Long non-coding RNA from Cyprinus carpio (common carp), 6060 nucleotides. NCBI's taxonomy places the organism in Eukaryota, Metazoa, Chordata, Actinopteri, Cypriniformes, Cyprinidae. The record is from Ensembl.